This 1490-nucleotide ribosomal RNA is filed under the name Lactiplantibacillus plantarum. RNAcentral describes it as "bacterial SSU rRNA". It matches the Rfam family "Bacterial small subunit ribosomal RNA". The record is from RNAcentral. Lineage: Bacteria; Bacillati; Bacillota; Bacilli; Lactobacillales; Lactobacillaceae.
GCACGUGGCCGGGGGUGCCCUAUACAUGGCAAGUCGGAACGAACUCUGGUAUUGAUUGGUGCUUGCAUCAUGAUUUACAUUUGAGUGAGUGGCGAACUGGUGAGUAACACGUGGGAAACCUGCCCAGAAGCGGGGGAUAACACCUGGAAACAGAUGCUAAUACCGCAUAACAACUUGGACCGCAUGGUCCGAGCUUGAAAGAUGGCUUCGGCUAUCACUUUUGGAUGGUCCCGCGGCGUAUUAGCUAGAUGGUGGGGUAACGGCUCACCAUGGCAAUGAUACGUAGCCGACCUGAGAGGGUAAUCGGCCACAUUGGGACUGAGACACGGCCCAAACUCCUACGGGAGGCAGCAGUAGGGAAUCUUCCACAAUGGACGAAAGUCUGAUGGAGCAACGCCGCGUGAGUGAAGAAGGGUUUCGGCUCGUAAAACUCUGUUGUUAAAGAAGAACAUAUCUGAGAGUAACUGUUCAGGUAUUGACGGUAUUUAACCAGAAAGCCACGGCUAACUACGUGCCAGCAGCCGCGGUAAUACGUAGGUGGCAAGCGUUGUCCGGAUUUAUUGGGCGUAAAGCGAGCGCAGGCGGUUUUUUAAGUCUGAUGUGAAAGCCUUCGGCUCAACCGAAGAAGUGCAUCGGAAACUGGGAAACUUGAGUGCAGAAGAGGACAGUGGAACUCCAUGUGUAGCGGUGAAAUGCGUAGAUAUAUGGAAGAACACCAGUGGCGAAGGCGGCUGUCUGGUCUGUAACUGACGCUGAGGCUCGAAAGUAUGGGUAGCAAACAGGAUUAGAUACCCUGGUAGUCCAUACCGUAAACGAUGAAUGCUAAGUGUUGGAGGGUUUCCGCCCUUCAGUGCUGCAGCUAACGCAUUAAGCAUUCCGCCUGGGGAGUACGGCCGCAAGGCUGAAACUCAAAGGAAUUGACGGGGGCCCGCACAAGCGGUGGAGCAUGUGGUUUAAUUCGAAGCUACGCGAAGAACCUUACCAGGUCUUGACAUACUAUGCAAAUCUAAGAGAUUAGACGUUCCCUUCGGGGACAUGGAUACAGGUGGUGCAUGGUUGUCGUCAGCUCGUGUCGUGAGAUGUUGGGUUAAGUCCCGCAACGAGCGCAACCCUUAUUAUCAGUUGCCAGCAUUAAGUUGGGCACUCUGGUGAGACUGCCGGUGACAAACCGGAGGAAGGUGGGGAUGACGUCAAAUCAUCAUGCCCCUUAUGACCUGGGCUACACACGUGCUACAAUGGAUGGUACAACGAGUUGCGAACUCGCGAGAGUAAGCUAAUCUCUUAAAGCCAUUCUCAGUUCGGAUUGUAGGCUGCAACUCGCCUACAUGAAGUCGGAAUCGCUAGUAAUCGCGGAUCAGCAUGCCGCGGUGAAUACGUUCCCGGGCCUUGUACACACCGCCCGUCACACCAUGAGAGUUUGUAACACCCAAAGUCGGUGGGGUAACCUUUUAGGAACCAGCCGCCUAAGGUGGACAGAUGAUUAACGGAUG